Non-coding RNA from Prunus avium (sweet cherry), 406 nucleotides. The record is from RefSeq and is a predicted model, not a curated record. Lineage: Eukaryota; Viridiplantae; Streptophyta; Magnoliopsida; Rosales; Rosaceae.
UCUCCUCCCCCGCCAUCUCUGCCGUCGCCAGCCGCUGCAGCCACCGGAAAAAACGCAGAAAAUUUGCUGGUUUUUGGCAGAUUUUCCAAAGGCUCGUUCUCCUUCGUUUCUCAACCAAAUUGGACGAGUGAGGUAAUCCGACUCCGCCUUCAGAGCAGGCAGGACCCUCUCGGGGUCACGCAGCGUGGGACUACUUCCAGUAGUUGACUGGAACGAGCAGCAGAGCUGUAUCGUGUGCCCUUGAACCGUAAACUUUGGUGCUCCGAGCUUUUGUAGAGCUUCGGUACCCUGUUAAUUCGUAAAACUCUAUUUUUACUGGUUGGUUGAAUUCUGUUAAAUGCUCUGUUAUUGCCCAGUUAGAAUUUGGUAUUUUGAGGCCGGAGGCCAUGGUUUGUAACACUAAGCU